Molecule: ribosomal RNA, 521 nt
Filed under: uncultured bacterium
Lineage: Bacteria
Description: bacterial SSU rRNA
Rfam family: Bacterial small subunit ribosomal RNA
Source: RNAcentral
AGCGAACGUUGGCGGCAGGCCUAACACAUGCAAGUCGAACGGACCCUUCGGGGUUAGUGGCGGACGGGUGAGUAACACGUGGGAACGUGCCUUUAGGUUCGGAAUAGCUCCUGGAAACGGGUGGUAAUGCCGAAUGUGCCCUUCGGGGGAAAGAUUUAUCGCCUUUAGAGCGGCCCGCGUCUGAUUAGCUUGUUGGUGGGGUAAUGGCCCACCAAGGCUACGAUCAGUAGCUGGUCUGAGAGGAUGACCAGCCACAUUGGGACUGAGACACGGCCCAAACUCCUACGGGAGGCAGCAGUGGGGAAUCUUGCGCAAUGGGCGAAAGCCUGACGCAGCCAUGCCGCGUGUAUGAUGAAGGUCUUAGGAUUGUAAAAUACUUUCACCGGUGAAGAUAAUGACUGUAGCCGGAGAAGAAGCCCCGGCUAACUUCGUGCCAGCAGCCGCGGUAAUACGAAGGGGGCUAGCGUUCCUCGGAAUUACUGGGCGUAAAGGGAGCGUAGGCGGACAUUUAAGUCAGAGGU